AUGUUGACACGACGCUGCGAACUGGGCCAGGUCUUGCUUGGAAUCCACUGUGGUGGACUGCUUUUGGCUCGUCAAGAGCAGCAGCAACCAUCAUCAGAGCUCGGAGGAGGCACCACCCAACACACUCCGGAAUCAAACUUAGCCAGUGGAUGCAAGCCCUCCAUCUCCAUGGAGGAAGAUGGCGGCUUGGAUGCUGCAAGCCUGGCGGAGGCGCUGCAGCUGGUCCUCUCGGCGUUUCGGGCCAUGGAGGGACUGGCCGCCCAGAUCCACUCCUGCCACAGGACCCGUCGGAAAUGGGAGCUUAGGAGGUGCCGGUCCAAGGUCGCCGACCCGGAUCUGGACCUUCUCAUCGCCCAUCUGCUCCAGAUCUGGAGCAUAUGUGCCGGCGCCUACCCACAGCGUGCCGGCGACAAGGCUCUGGCUCUGCAGGCCAGGGACGCCGUCCACUUCAUGGAGGCCCUGCAGGACAAGCUCCAGUACGGCUCAGCUUCCAAUUCGCCCAUGCCUGAUUCAGGCAGGCAAGUUAUUCAGACUGGGGUGUUUGUUGGGCGCCACAAGGAGAGGGAUGACGUCGUGCACAUGCUCAUCAAGCCAUGCGCCAAGGUUACUGCACCUGACAUGAUGGUUUCCAUUGUUGGUACUGCAGGAAUUGGGAAGACCACGCUCACUCAGAUGGUAUUCAAUGAUACAAGAGUUGCCAAGCAUUUUGAAGUCAGAUGUUGGGUGUCAGUUUCCACUGGUUCCAACACAAUGGAGCUCACAGCCGAGAUCUUAAGGUCAGCCCAGCCACCUUGGGAUAUAUCUGUUGACAAGAUGGUGGAUUUUCAAAUGAUUCAGUCCGAGCUCCGUCGACUUGUUACAUCCAAGAGGUAUCUCAUUGUUAUUGAUGAUGUAUGUAAUGGCAUGGACGAGAUCUGGCUGGACAUGAUGCCUCCUCUACAGUCAGCAGAUAUUGGUAGCAGAAUUCUGGCAACUUCUCGCAUCAACACUGUCCCUCACUUCCUCGGUGCGUCGCAGCUAUACCCUGUAAAUCCGCUCAGUAGCGACGAUUGCUGGGCCAUGCUCAAGGAACAUGCUUUUCCAAGUGGGCGCGAGAAUGCCUAUCCAGAUCUUCACCCAAUCGGGAAGCAGAUUGCUGUAAAAAUCAAUGGGUCACCUCUGGCUGCCAAGCUGGUGGGAGUUUUGCUGGGAGAUACAAGGACCAAAAAUCACUGGAUGAAGAUCAUGAAAACAGGAUUACAAGACAAUGCUGUUCUACCUGCCCUGCGCUUGAGCUAUAAGUACCUACCGGUACACCUCAAGCGGUGCUUCGCAUAUUGCAGUUUGUUUCCACAGAACUAUAAGUUUGAUCCAGCACACUUGUCCCGCCUUUGGAUUGCCGAGGGUUUUGUUCAACCACAAGGCACGGCUGACAAAAGGAUGGAAGACAUAGCUAGAGAAUAUUUUGGUCUGCUCCUUUCACGCUCAUUUUUCCAAGAAAUCAAGCUUGGAUCCAGGACUUACUACUUAAUGCAUGACUUACUCCAUGAUCUUGCAAAGUCUGUUGCAGCAGAGGACUGCUUCCAUAUUGAGGAUGGCAUGAAUUGUGACAUCCCAUCAACAGUGCGCCAUCUGUCGGUCACUGUGAAGAGUCUAAUUGGUCUCACAAGCUUCCCUGGGCUAGAAGAGCUGCGCACCUUGUUAAUCCGACCAUCACUUCUGUCCUCCUCCAGUUGCCUCCAAGAAGAUUUUUCUUUGAAUUUAGAAAAUAUCUUGUUGAAGUGCAAACAUUUGCGUGUUCUUGAUCUCAGCGGCUAUAACUCCAAAGAGUUGCCUCAUUGCAUUUAUGACUUACUGCACCUCCGUUACCUAUCUAUCAAUGCCACCAUCCAAAAACUUCCGGAGUUGAUUGGAAAGCUUCUGCAUCUGCAAACAUUGUGCAUCACUGGGAAAUGA
Molecule: ribosomal RNA, 1935 nt
Filed under: Triticum aestivum (bread wheat)
Lineage: Eukaryota; Viridiplantae; Streptophyta; Magnoliopsida; Poales; Poaceae
Description: partial small subunit ribosomal RNA
Source: RNAcentral